This is a long non-coding RNA of Columba livia (rock pigeon), 1448 nucleotides long. RefSeq lists it as uncharacterized. The transcript has 3 exons. NCBI's taxonomy places the organism in Eukaryota, Metazoa, Chordata, Aves, Columbiformes, Columbidae. The record is from RefSeq and is a predicted model, not a curated record.
AAAAGUGGGAGGGACUGAGAGGUCUCGUUAGCAGUUUAAUUGCAUAAAGGAGGUCCAUAGAAUUACUAAAAGAAAUUUUGCUGGGCAGCAGUCCCAAUGGCUGGUCACCAGAACUGACGUAAGAUAGUUAUGGGCCACCCAACCACACCAGCUAUGGCCACCAUGAAGCUCCCCAACCUGUGAUGCUGCCAGGGCCCUACCCCAGAUUUUAACUGCAGUCAAACCUGUGGGGUGCAGCUCCUCAUGUCACUCAGAGCAUCCUGAGAUGACUUCAGUUCUACAGAGUCUGACCUACUUUUAAGCCAGGCUGAUUUUGUCUAAGCAGCAGCUGCAUUUGAGGGCAAAGAGAAGUAAAAGCUUCUGAAAUCCAGGUCUGCUUUCCUGAAUAUCACACUCAAACCCCCAGCAAGAUCCAGAGCUACCUGACUUUGGUGUCCUCUCCUUGGCUUCCCUUGCACAUCCCUCCCAAGCACAGGCUGCAGCCUUGGCUUUCACAGCAGAGAAGAAAGGAAAGCAGUCUCUAUUAGUCAUUGCAUCAUUUGCACAGCCGUCAAAUGGGAGAAGUAAUUAACUCAAACGUGUUUAUCUACAGUAAUUAUAAAUUUGCAUUGCUCUCUCUAUCAACAAAGAGGAUUGGGCUCCCAACACUCUCUGAAGUGCUCACAUAGCCAAUGAAUUGCUUUUUUUUGCAUGAGUCCUGGAUCUUUAGAAGAAUCACACUCAGUGCUGGCUCUGUCUAUAUCAUUUCUGUCUCUCAGUCACCCUGCAAUCAAUAGACCCUGCUUUGCUUCCAUACUCCACAUGAAUGAUGGAAAUAGCGGCCCAGAUACCAAACCUUGCUGUGGGAACAGAAGCAGGUGAGGUGCUUCAGUGUGGCAGUGACUGGGAUUAUAUUUGGAUUUUAAGGGAAUUUCAGCAGAGAAAUCCCAGAUUAUCCCUGGGAUUUUCCACUGCAUUGCCAAGAAGUCUUCAAUCUGCAUUGGCUUUUCUUGCAAGACUCCCAUUCGCAGAGUCCCCCUGUCUCACACCACAGGCGGCAAGUGUCACGUAAUACAUUCUGGAUUUGUUUCUGAGCUCGAUUCCUCACCUUAGACUGUGUUGGAGGCUGCUGGGAUGUGGGCUGGCUCUGCGCACCAUGUGUGCCCUCUGGAAAAUGCUCCAGUGAACAAACAUUCAUUAAAAACCAGCAAAUGUGAAUUAUAACUGACUGCGUAAAGGUGCUGGUGAAUUGACGACAUAUGCACACGGUCAGAGCAAAUGAUCUGGAACGCAACAGUGAGAGAUGGAAAUCUCUCUCCCAUCCCAGUCUGACGUGUGUCGGCGUGGUGCUGAGCAGCUGGCUGGGGCAGACCCUUGGAGCUGCUGUCCUGUUGCGUUUUCACCAACACCAACCUUUCACUGCUGACCACAGAGCUGAUUCCAGCAUCCAAGGGAGCUCCAGAAGAGCA